RNAcentral lists this ribosomal RNA (645 nucleotides) under uncultured bacterium. RNAcentral's name for it is "partial 16S ribosomal RNA". It matches the Rfam family "Bacterial small subunit ribosomal RNA", at positions 896 to 1500 of the family's 1533-position model. The record is from RNAcentral.
CACUUCCCCAGCAAUNNACCGAGGGCCCNGCUANAANCGGAUGGAGCAUNUGGUNGUUANUUNCGAANGCCAAACNGCGAGAGAACCUAANCCAGGCCCCNUGACANGNACCGGUCNCGGGACCANUCGGAGGACAUUUGUCCNCUUCAAGUUAGNGCGUGGACCCGNGAANACAGGUGANUGCCNUGCCNGGUCGUCAGACUCGUGUCGUGAGAUGANUGGGNUAAGUGCCGCAACGCAGCGCAACCCUCGCCUCUAGUUGCCAUCAUUCAGUUGGGCACUCUAGAGGGACUGCCGGUGAUAAUCCGAGAGGAAGGUGGGGAUGACGUCAAGUCCUCAUGGCCCUUACGGGCUGGGCUACACACGUGCUACAAUGGCGGUGACAAUGGGCAGCUAACCCGNGAGGGUGAGCUAAUCUCCAAAAGCCGUCUCAGUUCGGAUUGCACUCUGCAACUCGAGUGCAUGAAGUUGGAAUCGCUAGUAAUCGUGGAUCAGAAUGCCACGGUGAAUACGUUCCCGGGCCUUGUACACACCGCCCGUCACANCCAUGGGAGUUGGUUUUACCCGAAGGUGCUGUGCUAACCGCAAGGAGGCAGGCAACCACGGUAGGGUCAGCGACUGGGGUGAAGUCGUAANCAAGGUACC